Molecule: ribosomal RNA, 340 nt
Filed under: uncultured microorganism
Description: bacterial SSU rRNA
Rfam family: Archaeal small subunit ribosomal RNA
Source: RNAcentral
GCGCACCAGUCGCGAAACCUUCGCAAUGCGGGAAACCGCGACGAGGGGACUCCCAGUGCCUACGCUCAGCGUAGGCUGUUCCCGAGCCUAGAAAGCUCGGGGAGUAAGGGCUGGGUAAGACGGGUGCCAGCCGCCGCGGUAAUACCCGCAGCCCGAGUGGUGGCCACUAUUAUUGGGCCUAAAGCGUCCGUAGCCGGCCCGGUAAAUGCCUGGGUGAAUCGUGAGGCCUAACCUCACGAAUUCCGGGUAGACUGCCGGGCUAGGGGACCGGAGGAGGGAGAGGGUACUCCAGGGGUAGGGGUGAAAGUCCUGUAAUCCCUGGAGGACCACCGGUGGCGAA